UACCCGCGGUCCAAGUCGCAGCCAUCUUUAUUGGGUCUAAAACAUCCGUAGCUUGCUUCAUAAGUUCCUUGUGAAAUCCUAUGUCUCAAAUAUAGGGCGCGCAAGGAGUACUGUGGAGCUAGAGACUGGGAGACGUGAGAAGUACGUUUAAAGUAGUGGUAAAAUACGUUAAUCUUAGACGGACUAACAACAGCGAAGGCAUCUCACGAGAACAGUUCUGACAGUAAGGGAUGAAGGCUAGGGGCGCAAAACG
Molecule: ribosomal RNA, 253 nt
Filed under: uncultured archaeon
Lineage: Archaea
Description: partial 16S ribosomal RNA
Rfam family: Archaeal small subunit ribosomal RNA
Source: RNAcentral